UCUAUAGUAAGCAUGACAAUGAUAUGUUUAUCCACUUUUCUACCUAAGGUGAGACUGGAAGGCAUUAUAUCUUCAUUGGUAGUUUGAUGAGAAUGAUCUUGGUCAACUUCCUUUCUUGCUUGGCCUUGAGUAGGCCUGUAUUUGAAGGACAUUUUGUGGAUGGAAGUCAUAAAUAUGAGAAUGUCCUGUUGAAGAUCACCAAUACAAACUACUCGGGGUUUAAAUGAAAACUCUAUCAAAGUUACAAGAGAUUUAAGGUUGAGAAUACAUCAAGACAUAGUCAGAUUUGGCAUCAAUUAUAUCCUAAUUUCUUAAUAUUCUUAAGAAUCAGACUGAUGGCUCAGUUGGCCUUUUUAUGAGAGAUGCCUAAAAUUAUGAUUUUUGCCAUCGAGAAAGGACCUAAGGACAAAGUUGGAUUUUGUGUUUUUUUGGUAAUUAAAUGAAAUUUUGGAUUAUUGGAUUAUUGGUUGUUAUCAAUGGUUAGAAUUGAUGCUUUGUUUAGUUUAUAAAGUUCCUUGUUGACUGCAGAAACAAUCUUACAUUGGCCUUUUGUUGUAGAGAUGAUUGCUGAGAGUUAAGUAUUUAGUGAAGUUUUGAGUGUUCUGGACUGGAACUUUUCCAUGUUUGUUUUCUUCUGUCCUCAUUCCUUCUCUUAUUCUUUUCCACCUUAAUUUCCUUGAAGAGCUGUCUCCUGUUCAUGUUGAAUUUGCUUAGGGAUAUCUGCUUUCUUGUCAGUAAUCCUUUGAGAUCACUGCUUGUGCUCACUUGACAGACGAAAGUUUAUAAGACUGCAUGAUUAGGAGUGCCUUCUAGCUUGUUGAAGCGCUGGGUAUUUAGAAUUAUGUUGUUCAUUUUCCAUUCUAGUUUUUUGUUACAAAAAGGGAUGAUCAUUACUCUAUAUGGUCGUUUGCAUCUUCUGUUUUUCAGUAGCACCAUUGUUGAAGUCCUUUUGUCUCAUCCUUCACUACAUCUCCAUGCCUAGUCAUAUGUUGAUUGUGUUAGGGAUGUGAUUGAUUGUGUUACUGCAUCUUCUUAGAGACUUUUAUCUUCUAUACAGUACAGAAGCAAGCUUUGAGUGGAUGCUUGAGAUAUGGAUAGAGUGUUGCACUACAGUUGAAUCCUCUUUAGAGAUGUCUACUGCUGGGUGAAGUGAGCAUACCUAUGACUUUCUUGCAAGUUAUGCAGUUGCUGCCUCAAGCUUGCUGCCUCCCUUUGCCAGAACUAGUGAGUACAGUGGAUAAAGUUUAGCCUAUGCAACAGAUUCUUUUAAAAUACUAUAUUACUGCUAUGGAGUGAUUAUGUAUUACAGUAACCAGGUUCAAUAAAGAAACAUUCUGUUAGAUCACUUAUAAUCUGAAGUUUGUUCCUCCAGUUUUUCAUCAAAUCUAUUACAAAUCCAGUUUCAAAGCAUCAAGGUUAAAUACUUCUGAACCUCUACUAGAUGACUUACUGCUGAUGUAAACUACAAUUUCUCAACUAUAACUUUUUGAAUCCUUAUUGUUAUGCAUGCAUGCUGUAGUGAUCUUUGAAUGCUCCUGUUUAAAUAGUUGAUGAGCUAUUCUGAUACUUUUGGUGCUUUGCCUAACAUCUGUUGCAUAACCACCCACCCAGUCCCCAACAAAAAAAGAAAAAAAGAAAAAGAAAAAUCAACACACAAAAGAAAAAAGGAAAAUAAUAUAUUUGAUAAGGAGACUGUUGACAGGAAGAGGGGAGGAGGAUAAGAUUUGCAUUUAAAUUAUUUGUAUGAUUUAUUCAUGUUGCGUGACUAAUAAAUGGUGUAAUUUCCGCAUCAUUAUUAUGGAAUGUAGAGGCAACAUUCAAAAGCUUCGGUAUCUGGUUUUACGUUUGUUGAAUAUUUAAACAUUACAUGAUUUCUGAUUAUAGAUUCAACAUUUUGAUUGCACUGCAUUAAUCUUUCUAAACAAUCUAAAUUUUCUUAAUUACAUCACAGAAAGAAGUCUCAGGAUCAAGUUCUUCAAAAAGUGGAUCCUAAGCUUGUACUCAGCACCACAUGACAGCAGGUUCUGUAAUACUUUUCUUUAUUAAUGGGCUCAAACCAUAGUAUGUUGUACCGUAUUGAACCAAACGAUACCGGAUGCACCGUACCGUACCAAUUCGGUACCCGUACCGGUACUAGUGGCGUACCGACAUUCGGUAUGCCAAAUAAACUGUAUACCAUACCGUACCGACGCUAUAUUAGUGUGGCAUCGAUACGGGGUCCGGUACCGAGACGGCGAACUUGGCUCAAACACAACUAUCCCUAAAGAUAUGCAAAAAGUUAUUAGCAAGCAAAAGAGAUACAAGCAAGCACGAGAAAUAGCAAUAAAAUAUUUAUUUUACAUGGCUACCUCCAAAUUAUGCAUCUAAAUCAAAAACAUAUUAAAUUUCUUCACUAGAAAUGCCAUGACCAUUUAUAAUGGGAAGGCAAUUCCUUUCUCUUGGAUGGAAGCAUCCUGCACCUCCUAGGAAAUUGCUACUCCACGUGAAAGCUGCAUUUGGUUGUGGUUUGUGGAAUAAGUCAACCUAGAUGAAAUUGGUUUAGUUGGUCCUGACCCUCGUUCUUCCAAAAUAAAAUACUCCACACUAUAAUGUGCAAUAUUUUUCUUUGCUUAGGUGGGAAAAUGGCUUUACAAACUUUUUAAAAAUACUUGUUUUGAUUUCCAAAUAAAUGGUCAUUUUUUUACCAUUUGACAAGUUAAAAUGGAACAAAUGGGCUAAUGGGACCUUUGUUCCAUUUACUCUUCUUUAACCCGCAACCUGUUGUAGACUAAGAGAACCAUAUGAGAACCUAACUCAAGAGAAACCUCAAGAUGGACAUGAAGUUGCAAUGCAUAGUUUGUUAACCUUGACAAAAAACAAUGAGAGAAUGCCUUCAUCUAACCUCCCAUAACCAUUUCUUCAUUUCCCACGUCAUUUGCUUUGUAAUCUUACCUCCGCUUAUCUCACAAUCCUAAAUCUACAUUCUUUUAUUUCUCUCAUUUUGAUCAGUCAUUCCUAUGUCGUGAAACAUAUUCCAUAGUGGGAGUUACUCAUUGGCACCAUUAAUUGGAUCAAGUACUCCAUAUGCAAAGAUUAGUUUGCCAAAGGUAUUUUACACCACAGGUUCUAAUUAAUAUAGAUCAAAGGGAACAUAUGCCACAUGGCUUUUCCAUAAUAUACAGAAAUACCACAGAUGCUUUUUUCAGGGCAGAUGUAUGGACAAAAUGCAACCAGCAAAUCAACAUGGAGAAGUGUAGGAUGACUUAUUGAAAGAGGGAGAGGCACGAUGCCUUCAUGUUGACAUGCUGUAACUACAUUCUUCCUUGGACAAGAAGCAGGUAUGAUCGAAAAAUAAAGAUAGCUUGGAUUCCAUUGACUAUCAUCAUAAUUCAUAAGACCUUCAUGAGGUGGAAGAUCACAUGGAUGACGAAGACAAUGAUUGGGACUUCUAAGGCCAUCAGAGGACUUCUAUCAAGGAGGAGAGAGGUGUCAAGCAGCUGACUCAAGUCUAGCAAAUUCAACUGCAAAAUGUUGUCAAUUUAAUUUACAAAAUUUGGAUUUAUUGCCAUUUCUUGUGGUCUCCAUGUUUACGAGUUCAUGAGAUGCAAGUCAAAUACCCGGGAUGAAUUUUUAAAGAUCGUUUUAUUGCCUUUUAGAAUGGGUGUCUCUAAUUCCCAAGUUCUUCUUCAAGUUACUAACCAAGUCCUCAAUUCAGCUUAAGCAUAAUUUCUUAGUCUCCUGAACAUGUGUAGGAUGGAAUAACUGGUUUGUUCUAACAGGGACCAAGUCAAAUCAAUGAUAUUGCAUUAAUGUAUUUGUUCAAUUUUUGUGACAUUCUCUGCACAUUAAUUCUAUAGUGUGGGAAAUCAAGGUUCUUUAUUGAAAUGAAACAAUUUCUUUCAUA
Phoenix dactylifera (date palm) is the source of this 3883-nucleotide non-coding RNA. Lineage: Eukaryota; Viridiplantae; Streptophyta; Magnoliopsida; Arecales; Arecaceae. The record is from RefSeq and is a predicted model, not a curated record.